This is a long non-coding RNA of Salvelinus sp. IW2-2015, 416 nucleotides long. RefSeq lists it as uncharacterized. NCBI's taxonomy places the organism in Eukaryota, Metazoa, Chordata, Actinopteri, Salmoniformes, Salmonidae. The record is from RefSeq and is a predicted model, not a curated record.
UCGACAAGAGCGCCCGUCAAGCUCUGUCCCAAAUGUAAGGUGUACAUCGAGAGGGACAAGGGAUGUGCUCGGAUGAUGUGCAGGAACUGAUGACCUCCUCCUGAUCCACUAUGACAAAGGGCCGUGCUAAAACAAACUGGGCCUCUCCAGAGCUUCAGUUGUCUGGCACCGGACACAGACUCGCUGGGAAGUAAUUGUGCACCCGAUGUCACAGAAGACCAAAACGAUCAUCAAGGACAUUACCCACCUGAGCCGCUAUCAUCCAGAAGGUGAGAUCAAAGCUGGAACCAAGAGACUGAAAAACAGCUUCCAUCUCAAGGCCAUCAGGCUUGUUGUAUAUAGGCAUACACUAGAAAUCACUGGCCACUUUAAGGAAUGGAACACUAGUCACUUUACAUAUCUGGCAAGGUUUACAU